UGACUUACGAGACCGGCGCUGGUAACAAGACUAGUGAAUAUGAACAGGCGCUUAGUCUCGGAGAAGAAAAGGAGAAAAGUGUGAGUCUUCGCUACACAGCUACAGUUGAGCGGGAUUGUUAUCCCUCUCCCCCUAUUCUCAUCCUCCCCAUUCCAGUCAGGAUGAGGUAAUCGGGUUAGUUAGACCAUAUCAGUAAGAGCUUUGAUUAGAGAGGGGAAAUUGAAUUGGUUCCCCUUUUUCAGCCCCCUCCCCUGGCCUUCAGUUCUCCUCCUGCUCUGCUACACUAGAUGCCAUUCAGUUCAGCUGCCUGCUACAGCAAAUCACUGGAUAGCCUAUCUGAUGAAUCCAUUUGUUCCUCUCUUCCUCAAUCUCUAUCUCUCGGUGACUGUUCUUGUUGCGACUAUUCUUUUACUGGUUUAUUUAGUUUCUCUAGCGACCAAGUGUGCUGUAACUCUUCUCAAAGUUGUCAUGUUUCAAAGUGCUUUGUCUGCUGAAAAAUGGUAAUAACCAUAGUGUAUGUCAGGGCUAGUAGCUACUGUAUGACAAACUUAGCGUUAGCUAUGCAUUUCUUAGCCUUUCAUCCAGAUAGUAUUUCAGGAAUGUUCUCUUUUUCUCCCUCCUGCUGAUAUGGGAAUGAAUGUACUUUCCUAGCAGCAGCACAGUUAAGAGGACAGCAGGAGCGGUGUUCUCAUUCCUAGGGCUGGCAGAAUUGCCGCGUAACCGACAGUGGUGGAUGAAGACUGUCAUCAAAAUAAAAUAACCGAUGAACGUGGUACCUUCAGGCGUUUGGAAAUUGCUCCCAAGGAUGAACCAGACUUGUGGACGUCUAAAAUGUAUUUUCUGAGGUCUUGGCUGAUUUCUUUUGAUUUUCCCAUGAUGUCAAGCAAAGAGGCACUGAGUUGGAAGGUAGGCCUUCCACAUCCACAGGUACACCUCCAAUUUACACAAAUUAUGUUAAUUCGCCUAUCAGAAGCUUUUAAAGCCAUUACAUCCUUUUCUGGCAUUUUCCAAGCUGUUUAAAGGCACAGUCAACUUAGUGUAUGUAAACUUCUGACCCACUUGAAUUGUGAUACAGUGAAUUAUAAGUGAAAUAAUCUGUCUGUAAACAAUUGCUGUAAAAAUGAUUUGUGUCAUGCACAAAGUAGAUGUCCUAACCGACUUGCGCAAACUAUUGUUUGUUAGCAAGAAAUGUGUGGAGUGGUUGAAAAAUGAGUUUUAAUGACUCCAACCUAAGUGUAUGUAAACUUCCGACUUCAACUGUAUAUACUGUAUUUUAUACCAUCUAUUGCACCUUGCCUAUACCGCUCGGCCAUUGCUCAUCCAUAUUCUUACAUGCAUAUAUUCUCAUUCACCCCUUUAGAUUUGUGUGUAUUAGGUAGUUGUUGGGGAAUUGUUAGAUUACUUGUUAGAUAUUAAUGCACUGUCGGAACAAGAGGCACACGCAUUUCGCUACACUCACAUUAUUAUCUGCUAAGCAUGUGUAUGUGUCAAAUACAAUUUUAUUUGUUUUUCAUUUAUAAUUUUUUUGUAUUUUGUAUUUUUUUGUAAUGUCAGUUGAGUUGAACCAACAAAUCACAGCACAUAUUGAUGGGUCCACUUUCUGAUUUUAUUUCCUGCUUUGCUCCUAUGGGUACACUCGCAAUGGUUGUCUGUCCACCAAUUAUGCCAUCAUUGACUUGAAUGGGGACGCAAGUUCUAUUAAUUAUAUUUCUAUGGCAGGCAGGAGCCGAGGAAUUGAGAAAAUGUACGUAAAAGUAACAUGAGACCACGGUCAUUUGACUGGCCAAUUACUGUCACAGCUCUACUCAUUCCUCAACAACAGAACAGCCUGUUUCCACCUGGAUAACAUCAGCUCCUGGGCCUAGCGUAGCUGCCUAACAAACACCGCUAGCCUCUUCCUCCUCAUACACACCUCCUCAAGUUCAGAAUAUGAGUCUAUGACUUAUCUCAGGUUCAUCCAUUGGCUUGUGACCUGAUUUUCAGUUCACCCAUUGUCAUUUGAUUGGUGCUUCCUGUGUGCUUCCUGUAUUAAUGAGGAUUGGUUAACCCUUGUGUGGUGUUCAUGUUUUUGUUAUUCACCCAGUGUUUGCAGGUUUGACGGACCCACAACAUUGUUUUUUGUUUUUUUAACAAUACAGCCAUAACAAUUUACAUAAAAAUCCUUAAUACUUAGAUGUUGACAUAUCAAUUACCAGAAAUAUAGAUAGCAUACAUGGUUAAUAUUUGCUAUUUACUUCUGCAAGAUCACAUUGAUCAAUAAAAGCGCUAUUAUAAUCAAGACAUGGGUGGAAUAAAUCAUGUUUAUCUUGAACAAAUAUAAAUGAAACAAGGUUUUCAUCACUAUUAAUGUUGUAUUUCUUUGAACUGAACAAAUUGGAAGGACAAAUUUUACACAAUAUUUUAUGGAAAUGAUAAAUGAGCCCCAUUGAACACAAAUUAAGGCCGGUCUACACACCACAUGAGGGACAGAGUUUUACUGUGUUUUUGUGUUGCAAAUGUAUUUCUUGCACUUGAUGCAUGUUUACUGUCUCUUCCUGUACUUCUUGGGUCCACACACAUCGCAGCGCUUCAGCUUGUUGCUACCGGCUGCAAUCUAGAAUGAUGAAAACACUUAGUUCAGGAACAUCUCACUCACGUAGUUACAGCAGGCCAAGGUAGGAGAGUCAGACACACACACAUGCAACAGCAUCACUCACACUUACUUCCAGUAUUGGAGUUGUUGGUUCUGUGGGUCGGGCGGAUGGGGCAACAGCAUUCUCCUCCUGAAUCCUCCUCACGAUGGCUGCGGAAGCAGGGGUCCUAGUUAUAUGUUGCCUCCUCUGGAUUUGAGCUCUUACCAAUGCCUUUCCCAGCUCCUCGAGAAAGAGCCGUCUCCUCUGGAGCUUCCCUCUGUUCCAAUCUGGGUUCAACGCCAUCCAGAUGACACAUGUGUUGUAUGCCGAGAUGUCCAUGAUGUUGAAGAAUAUCAAGUGGCUAGCGUAGGGUUCUUCUUUUGCAGCUGUAGCCAGUCACCAGCUUGUCUAAAUUGUCCACCCCUCCUUUUGUGGCAUUUUAAUCCAUUAUGAUUUCUGGAUUUUGAUGUUCCUGGCCACAGAUUCUCUCAUCCCUAUGCAGCGUACUCAUGAGUACCACAUUUUUGCCUUUCUUUGGCAAGUAGGACACUAGGGACUUGUCGACCGUGAACACAAACUUAGAGGAGUUGAUAGGCCUGUUCCGUGUAUUCAACAGCUGAGGUGGGAGCUCUGGCUUGUUUUUUCGUACUGUUCCUACUAGAGGUCGACCGAUUAAUCGGAAUGGUUUUCAUAACAAUCGGUAAUCGGUAUUUUUGGCCACCGAUUUGCCGAUUUAUUAUUAUUAUUUAUUUUUUUACACUUUUAUUUAACUAGGCAAGUCAGAUUAAGAACACAUUCUUAUUUUCAAUGACAGCCUAGGAACGGGGGUUAACUGCCUUGUUCAGGGGGGAUUCGGGGAUUCGUUUUUGCAACCUUCCGGUUACUAGUCCAACGCUCUUACCACCUGCCUUACAUUGCCCUCCACGAGGAGCCUGCAUGGCAGGCUGACUACCUGUUACGCAAGAGCAGCAAGAAGCCAAGGUAAGUUGCUAGCUAGCAUUAAACUUAUCUUAUAAAAAACUAUCAAUCUUAACAUAAUCACUAGUUAACUACACAUGGUUGAUGAUAUUGCUAGUUUAUCUAACGUGUCCUGCGUUGCAUAUAAUCGAUGCGGUGCCUGUUAAUUUAUCAUUGAAUCAUAGCCUACUUCGCCAAACGGGUGUUGAUUUAACAAGCGCAUUUGCGAAAAAAGCACUGUCGUUGCACCAAUGUACCUAACCAUAAACAUCAAUGCCUUUCUUUAAAAUCAAUACACAAGUAUAUAUUUU
RNAcentral lists this long non-coding RNA (3880 nucleotides) under Salmo salar (Atlantic salmon). Its description in RNAcentral is "lncRNA (ENSSSAG00000104542.1)". Lineage: Eukaryota; Metazoa; Chordata; Actinopteri; Salmoniformes; Salmonidae. The record is from RNAcentral.